Pangasius djambal is the source of this 73-nucleotide non-coding RNA. The record is from the annotation of a GenBank genome assembly. Lineage: Eukaryota; Metazoa; Chordata; Actinopteri; Siluriformes; Pangasiidae.
ACCUGGCUAGCUCAGUUGGUACAGCAUGGUACUCUUGAUCUCAGGAUUGUGGGUUUGAGUCCCAUGCUGGCUG